Molecule: ribosomal RNA, 282 nt
Filed under: Bacteroides fragilis
Lineage: Bacteria; Pseudomonadati; Bacteroidota; Bacteroidia; Bacteroidales; Bacteroidaceae
Description: partial 23S ribosomal RNA
Rfam family: Bacterial large subunit ribosomal RNA
Source: RNAcentral
GCCAGUAUUUGUGGAGUCGCUGUUGAAAUACGGCCCUUUGGUUAUUUGAGUUCUAACUCGCUGAUGCGAGGACACUGUUUGGUGGGUAGUUUGACUGGGUGGUCGCCUCCAAAAGCGUAACGGAGGCUUCUAAAGGUGCCCUCACGCCGAUUGGUAACCGGCGGUAGAGUGUAAUGGCAUAAGGGCGCUUGACUGGGAGACUUACAAGUCGAUCAGGUAGGAAACUAGAGCAUAGUGAUCCGGUGUUUCCGUAUGGAAGGGACAUCGCUCAAAGGAUAAAAG